This 223-nucleotide long non-coding RNA is filed under the name Medicago truncatula (barrel medic). RNAcentral's name for it is "long non-coding RNA (MTRU_LNC006737)". Lineage: Eukaryota; Viridiplantae; Streptophyta; Magnoliopsida; Fabales; Fabaceae. The record is from RNAcentral.
UUCCUCCACCACCUGGAUCUCAGUUCACUCCUGUUCCAAGACCUUAUGCUCCUCACCCUCAUCCAUCAUCAGGGAUGAUGCCUAUGAUGCAUCCACCACCUCCGCCUCAAGGAGUGCCCCCACCGCCGCCACCUGAGGAAGCUCCUCCCCCGCUUCCAGAGGAACCAGAACCGAAGAGGCAGAAACAUGACGAUUCUGCUCUGAUCCCUGAGGAUAAAUUUCU